GGCCCCCGUGCAGCAGGCAGCCAGCCCCACCAACCCCACAGCCAUCUCCCCUGAGGAGUACUUCGACCCCAACUUCAGCCUGGAGUCACGGAACAUUGGCCGCCCCAUCGAGAUGUCCAGCAGAGUACAGAGGUUCAAGGCAACCCUGUGGCUGAGUGAAGAGCACCCACUCUCCCUGGGUGACCAGGUGACCCCCAUCAUCGACCUAAUGGCCAUCAGCAACGCUCACUUUGCCAAGCUGCGCGACUUCAUCACUCUGCGCCUUCCACCUGGCUUCCCCGUCAAAAUUGAGAUUCCCCUUUUCCACGUGCUCAAUGCCCGCAUCACCUUCAGCAACCUGUGUGGCUGUGAUGAGCCCCUGAGCUCCGUGUGGGUGCCGGCCCCCAGCUCUGCUGUCGCCGCAUCAGGUACCCCCACGGGAGGAAGAGGGAGCCUGCACAGCUUUCUGGUCACCAAGCCCCGCGGGUUGAGCAUGGCCCCUCUGCCACCUGCCUAGGGAACCCUUUCCCAUGCGAGGUGGACCCCACCGUGUUUGAAGUGCCCGACGGGUACAGCGUGCUGGGCAUGGAGCGCAACGAGCCCCUCCGGGACGAGGACGAUGACCUCCUGCAGUUCGCCAUCCAGCAGAGCCUGCUUGAAGCGGGCACCGAGGCGGAGCAGGUGGGACUUGCGCAGGGGGUGGGCUCUGGCCUCUGCAGCCACAGGGCAGAAGUGACAGCUGUGGGCUCUGGUGGCUGCAGGUGACCGUCUGGGAAGCCCUGACCAACACCCGGCCCGGUGCCCGCCCUCCUCCCCAGGCCACGGUUUAUGAGGAACAGCUUCAGCUGGAGCGGGCCCUCCAGGAAAGCCUGCAGCUGUCCACAGAGCCCAGGGGCCCAGGAUCCCCUCCCAGGACACCCCCAGCCCCCGGUCCACCCAGCUUUGAAGAGCAGCUGCGCCUGGCCCUGGAGUUGUCUUCACGGGAGCAGGAGGAGCGGGAGCGGCGCGGGCAGCAGGAGGAGGAGGACUUACAGCGGAUCCUGCAGCUGUCACUCACUGAGCACUGAGCCACAGCCCUGGGAGGGCUGGCCAGGCCACUCCCUGCCCGCUUUUGUAAUUUAUUUAUUUAUAAACUCUCUGCUGCUGAGCUUGGGGCCUGGAGCCCCAGGAAUGAGCAGGCAGGGGA
Molecule: small RNA, 1165 nt
Filed under: Pan troglodytes (chimpanzee)
Lineage: Eukaryota; Metazoa; Chordata; Mammalia; Primates; Hominidae
Description: retained intron
Source: RNAcentral